RNAcentral lists this ribosomal RNA (242 nucleotides) under Ixodes scapularis (black-legged tick). RNAcentral describes it as "partial 16S ribosomal RNA". Lineage: Eukaryota; Metazoa; Arthropoda; Arachnida; Ixodida; Ixodidae. The record is from RNAcentral.
UUUAUUGUUAAUAAUUAAAAUUUAAGUUAUUAAUAAUUUAAUUGGGGCGAUAAAAAAAGAAUAAGUAUCUUUUUAGUUACAAAAUAAGUUCCGUUUUUAGCGAUUAAAUGAAAUAAAUACUCUAGGGAUAACAGCGUAAUAAUUUUGGAUAGUUCAUAUAGAUAAAAUAGUUUGCGACCUCGAUGUUGGAUUAGGAUUCUUUUUUGGUGAAGAAGUUAAGGAAAGAAGUUUGUUCAACUUUU